UACGAAGGGAGCUAGCGUUGUUCGGAAUUACUGGGCGUAAAGCGCGCGUAGGUGGCUUUUCAAGUCAGAGGUGAAAUCCCAGAGCUUAACUCUGGAAUUGCCUUUGAAACUGUUAAGCUUGAGUAUCGGAGGGGAUGGUGGAAUUUCUAAUGUAGCGGUGAAAUGCGUAGAUAUUAGAAGGAACACCGGUGGCGAAGGCGACCAUCUGGACGAUAACUGACACUGAGGCGCGAAAGCGUGGGGAUCAAACAGG
RNAcentral lists this ribosomal RNA (253 nucleotides) under uncultured bacterium. Its description in RNAcentral is "partial 16S ribosomal RNA". It matches the Rfam family "Bacterial small subunit ribosomal RNA", at positions 524 to 776 of the family's 1533-position model. The record is from RNAcentral.